GUUUGAUUGGCUGCUGGCAAACGUUUUGGGUAAGAAAGUACUAAACAAUGGCGAAGCUUGUUGUUGUUCCAGUUUUUCUUAUUCUCCUCCAUCUGCUGUCCCACUCAUCCAUGUUCAUCAUACCAUCCACCGCACACGUGCAUCCUCGAAACCUCUACACGUGUGUUCCACACGGAAUGUGUGUGUGGAGCUGCCCGCCAAAAAGCUUUCCGUAUAAAUACGGGAUCGAAAUCCCAAACAAGUCAAUCACUAACGCUACUAAACUCACUCACAUGGAUAAGCAAGGCGCUGUCGAUGCUCAGAAAAUUCGAUCCGAUUUCCUCAAAGUUUUGCGGAGCAGAAGAUCUGCUGAAGUUCCGCUGACGGUGGAACCCGCAAAACCUGUAGCAAAUCCUUUAUUUCAGGAAGCUUCACCGCCACGCCAUAGUGAGGCAAUGGAGUCAUGUCCACGGGUUAAGAUAGAAAAUUUUAAGGAGUUACUGAAAGAAGAAAAUUUUUACCUGCAUACUGAGGCAGGAGAGCAGGGGCGCUUGCCUGUGUUGAUUUUAAGUUUGAAAGAAAGUGAACACCGAAGAAGGCCUGCUAUUGUUUUUCUGCAUAGUACAAAUAAGAACAAAGAGUGGUUACGGCCGUUGCUUGAGGCAUAUGCUUCUCGAGAUUACAUAGCAAUCGCUAUUGAUUCUCGCUAUCAUGGAGAACGUGCUAAAAACUUAACCACUUAUCGAGAUGCACUUGUUUCAUCAUGGAAGAAGGGUGAUACAAUGCCAUUCAUAUUUGAUACAGCUUGGGACUUGAUAAAGCUAGCAGAUUAUUUAACACAGAGAGAAGAUAUAGACCCAACCAGGAUAGGAAUCACUGGAGAAUCACUUGGAGGAAUGCAUGCAUGGUUUGGUGCUGCUGCUGACACCCGCUAUGCUGUGGUUGUUCCUAUAAUUGGAGUUCAGGGAUUUCGAUGGGCCAUAGAUAACAAUCAAUGGCAAGCUCGAGUUGACAGUAUAAAGGCUGUGUUUGAAGAAGCAAGGAUUGAUUUAGGUAAGAGCGCUAUUGAUAAAGAGGUGGUGGAGAAGGUCUGGGAUAGAAUUGCUCCUGGUCUAGCCUCUCAGUUCGAUUCACCUUACACAAUUCCAGCCAUUGCUCCCCGGCCACUGCUUAUUGUGAAUGGUAUAAUUAUUUUGUAAAACUUCAAUCUCCCCCAUAUAAUUGUUCGGUGCAGAGGCUUAUUCUCACAGUAGGGUUUCAAUUGGUGCACCCUAGACUCAAAGUGCAGAAGAUCCUCGCUGUCCACUUCCAGGUUUGGAAGUUCCCAAAGAUAAAGCAUGCAAGGCUUACGGAGAGGUCAAUUGUAUUAAUAAAUUUAAGUUGAUUGCUCAACCUGGAAUUGGGCACCAGAUGACACCAUUGAUGGUUAAAGAAGCUAGCGAUUGGUUCGACAAGUUUCUGAAGAAUUAAUUUUCUUAAUGCAAUAUUUGUAUUUAUCGUUUUUUACAUCUAUUCUGGACAGACGGAUUUCAGUUGAGUAGUUCGAAAUCCUAGUAAGAUGUCAUAAUAAGAUCUUCCUAUUGAAUAACUUUUCCAAA
Mangifera indica (mango) is the source of this 1577-nucleotide RNA transcript. It is a transcript of the gene named putative esterase YitV, with no coding region annotated. The transcript is spliced from 13 exons. The record is from RefSeq and is a predicted model, not a curated record. NCBI's taxonomy places the organism in Eukaryota, Viridiplantae, Streptophyta, Magnoliopsida, Sapindales, Anacardiaceae.